Molecule: ribosomal RNA, 299 nt
Filed under: uncultured soil bacterium
Lineage: Bacteria
Description: partial 16S ribosomal RNA
Rfam family: Bacterial small subunit ribosomal RNA
Source: RNAcentral
AGAUUGAACGCUGGCGGCAUGCCUUACACAUGCAAGUCGAACGGCAGCACGGGAGCAAUCCUGGUGGCGAGUGGCGAACGGGUGAGUAAUACAUCGGAACGUGCCCAAUCGUGGGGGAUAACGCAGCGAAAGCUGUGCUAAUACCGCAUAAGAUCUACGGAUGAAAGCAGGGGAUCGCAAGACCUUGCGCGAAUGGAGCGGCCGAUGGCAGAUUAGGUAGUUGGUGAGGUAAAGGCUCACCAAGCCUUCGAUCUGUAGCUGGUCUGAGAGGACGACCAGCCACACGUGGGACUGAGACA